This 65-nucleotide transfer RNA is filed under the name Allacta robusta. RNAcentral describes it as "tRNA-Glu". It matches the Rfam family "tRNA". From Rfam's summary of the family: Transfer RNA (tRNA) molecules are approximately 80 nucleotides in length. Their secondary structure includes four short double-helical elements and three loops (D, anti-codon, and T loops). Further hydrogen bonds mediate the characteristic L-shaped molecular structure. tRNAs have two regions of fundamental functional importance: the anti-codon, which is responsible for specific mRNA codon recognition, and the 3' end, to which the tRNAs corresponding amino acid is attached (by aminoacyl-tRNA synthetases). tRNAs cope with the degeneracy of the genetic code in two manners: having more than one tRNA (with a specific anti-codon) for a particular amino acid; and 'wobble' base-pairing, i.e. permitting non-standard base-pairing at the 3rd anti-codon position. Lineage: Eukaryota; Metazoa; Arthropoda; Insecta; Blattodea; Pseudophyllodromiidae. The record is from RNAcentral.
AUUUAUGUAGUUUAACUAUUAAAACAUUACACUUUCACUGUAAAAAUAAAAAUAUUUCAUAAAUA